RNAcentral lists this long non-coding RNA (243 nucleotides) under Elaeis guineensis (African oil palm). RNAcentral describes it as "long non-coding RNA (EGUI_LNC067911)". Lineage: Eukaryota; Viridiplantae; Streptophyta; Magnoliopsida; Arecales; Arecaceae. The record is from RNAcentral.
UAUCUGAAUAAGGAUCAAAUUCUUAUCUGGAUUACAGCAGAAUUGGGGAUCAAAUCUCCAAAAUUUGGAUUCAACCUUCGUAUAGGGCUGAAACUGCAGGCAAUGCAGGAAAGCAGGAUGAAUCUCUAGAUUGAUGCACCUUCGCAAAUCCACCAAAGGAGGGAAGAGAGGUGCUGGUGUGAUGCCUCACACCAAUAAGAGGGGAUGCCCAAGGAGGGCCUCCGGCUUGGAGAGGGUGGGCAG